RNAcentral lists this ribosomal RNA (776 nucleotides) under uncultured Neocallimastigales. Its description in RNAcentral is "partial large subunit ribosomal RNA". It matches the Rfam family "Eukaryotic large subunit ribosomal RNA", at positions 26 to 635 of the family's 3401-position model. Lineage: Eukaryota; Fungi; Neocallimastigomycota; Neocallimastigomycetes; Neocallimastigales. The record is from RNAcentral.
CGCAUCUGUGCAUGCAGCAUAUCAAUAAGCGGAGGAAAAGAAACUAACAAGGAUUCCCCUAGUAACGGCGAGUGAAGCGGGAAGAGCUCAAAUUUGAAAUCUUAAAGGGUUUCCCUUUACGAAUUGUAGUUUAAAGAAGUGUUUUCUGUUGAGGUUUUGGUAAAAGUUCUUUGGGAAUAGGACAUCAUAGAGGGUGAGAAUCCCGUAUUUGACCUUUACUUUCAACUUUGUGAUACACUUUCAAAGAGUCGGAUUGUUUGGGAAUGCAGUCCAAAAUGGGUGGUAAAUUUCAUCUAAAGCUAAAUAUUGGCGAGAGACCGAUAGCGAACAAGUACCGUGAGGGAAAGAUGAAAAGAACUUUGAAAAGAGAGUUAAACAGUACGUGAAAUUGUCAAAAGGGAAGCGUUUGACACCAGUGUUGUUUUUCUGAAAAUCAAUUAAAGAACUGUUUAUGCUAAGCUGUUUAGACUUUAUCAGCUAACUGUUUAGUUUUGAGCUUUUCUUUAAUGCACUUUUCAGUUAACAAGUCAACAUCAAUUUCUUUUGCUGUAAAAAAGCUUGAGGAAGGUGGCUUGAGAUUCGUCUUAAGUGUUUAUAGCCUCUUGCCUAUGCAGUCGGAGAGAUUGAGGUCUGCAGCGUAGAUCCUUCGGGGCUAAAUGCAUUUGUGCUAAGUUAUAGCAUUUUAUAGACAACUUGUUGACUAUGAUUUGUCUUGUAGCUUACUCGCUUAUGUUAUUUUACCUACGCUUCAGGAUGUUGAACGCGCACAGAGUCUC